UACGUAGGGGGCAAGCGUUGUCCGGAUUUAUUGGGCGUAAAGGGCGCGUAGGCGGCUUGAUAAGGUUGCGGUGAAAGCCCGGGGCUCAACACCGGGUCGGCCGUGGCAACUGUCGAGCUGGAGCACUGUAGAGGCAGGUGGAAUUCCGGGUGUAGCGGUGGAAUGCGUAGAGAUCCGGAAGAACACCGGUGGCGAAGGCGGCCUGCUGGGCAGUGGCUGACGCUGAGGCGCGACAGCGUGGGGAGCAAACAGG
This 253-nucleotide ribosomal RNA is filed under the name uncultured bacterium. Its description in RNAcentral is "partial 16S ribosomal RNA". It matches the Rfam family "Bacterial small subunit ribosomal RNA", at positions 524 to 776 of the family's 1533-position model. The record is from RNAcentral.